This 88-nucleotide transfer RNA is filed under the name Planctomycetota bacterium. RNAcentral describes it as "tRNA-Ser". It matches the Rfam family "tRNA". Rfam says of the family: Transfer RNA (tRNA) molecules are approximately 80 nucleotides in length. Their secondary structure includes four short double-helical elements and three loops (D, anti-codon, and T loops). The record is from RNAcentral. Lineage: Bacteria; Pseudomonadati; Planctomycetota.
GGAGGGGUCGGAUAGCGGCUUAUUCCACUCGCUUGGAAAGCGGGCAUCUCUCACGAGAUCGAGGGUUCGAAUCCCUCCCUCUCCGCCA